RNAcentral lists this long non-coding RNA (3263 nucleotides) under Gossypium barbadense (sea-island cotton). Its description in RNAcentral is "long non-coding RNA (GBAR_LNC018579)". Lineage: Eukaryota; Viridiplantae; Streptophyta; Magnoliopsida; Malvales; Malvaceae. The record is from RNAcentral.
CCAAUUCUUUUAAUAAUAUAAGACUAAAUUAAUCAAUUUAAAAAUAAAAAAUUAAUUUAAUCCAAUCCUUGUUAACAGGAUCUCUCACGGAGUUUAACCCAAACUAAAUGCAUGUCCAAUGAUCAUAUUCUGACCACGAUCCACCUGUAUACACAGACACUGCAGCAGAUAGCAGCAAAUAGAAAACACUGUUAGAAAAUGUUAUACCUCUUUUACGUAUUCGACAUUAAUUGUAACAAUAACGGUGUUAAAUUCUGUUUAAAGUUGCAACUUUUGGACAAAUUAAUUCAAUGUGUAUAUUUGGAUGUCUUACCAUAUAUACACGAGGUAAUUAAUUAUUACCCUAUCUUACCUUUUUUUACUCUAUUGGGGUUGUUCAAAAUCCAGCUAAAUAAAUAAUCUCACCCAAUAAUUAAAGUUACUAUGAUUAGAACUGUUUAAAUUUUUUUCAAAUUUUAUUUAAAUAUCAAAUUGUUAAUUCUUUCGAGUUAUUCAUUUGACGCGUUAAAUAUAUUAUUAGAAAUUAAAAAUUUAUCACAUGCAUAUAUGUGUGAAAAAUCUCAUAUUUAGAAAACAGUAAAGUAAUAGUGUGCAUGAUAACAUAAAAGUAUUAGAAUAAAUUUUAAUAUUUUAUUAAUCUAAUUAGCAUGAAUUUUAAAUCUCAUUAACCUAAUCAUUAUUGUGCAUAAAAUAUUUAUGAAUUUAUUAUAAAUAUAUAUUUGUUAUUGUAAUAAUUUAUAAACGACCUCAUCUAUUAUACCAAAACAAGACUACUUAAUACAAUAUCAUGCCUUAUAUGUCACACUUUAAACUUAAUUAAAUUUUUAUUUAUUAUAUUUAAAGCUACCAUAAUUACACUUUCUUUUCUUUUUAUAACUUCGAACUUGAAAAAUCAGUGAAUGAGUGCAAUCAAUUUAUUUCAAAGUAAUUCAACAAACUCCAAAAUAAUUAAAAAGUAGAAUAACCAAAUAAAUUGCUUACUUUUUAGGGUUACACUGAUAUGCGGCUAAGGGUUUUUUUUUUUUUUUUUACAUUCUUUUAUGGUUGUUUGAAAAUGGACAGGGCUUAAGGAUGUUGCAAAUUGUGAAUUUCUUUCUCCACAAUUUCCUUCCUAACUACGGGCCCAAAAAAUUGGGUUUUUUUUAUAGAGAGAAUCUAGAGUUUGGUCCCACGUAGGGUUUUGUAUGUGCUAGAUGUGACACCACCAAAUUUAAGUAUGUGAUGUCAUAUUACGUCGUCAAAGUAGCUAAAACUGUAGUAACACAAAUGCAUUCAAUUCAAUCAUCAAAAUAAUUCAUAUGUAAGCGUUCAAGUUAAUUUCAGAGCUAAGACUCGAAUCCAAACUCAAAGUCAAAUUUCAAAUUUAUGUCUUGAGACAAGAGUUUUUAUGUCUCGAGGCAGGUCAUAAAUAAUUUUGAAAUUUUUAACUUCAAAGUUAACAUGUCUCGAGGCAAGGUCCUUUAUGUCUUGAGACCAACCUCCCAUAUUUUCUUAUUUUUCUUGUCUCAAGACCUAGAGCAAGGAAAAAUAUUUAGCUUCAAUGUUCUUUUGCCUCGAGACAUAGAAACAAUUGCCUCAAGACUAUAUAAAUAUGUCUCGAGACCCUAGACUCUUAAUUUCAAAAUUUAAAUGAAAUUUGAUCCAGCGGUCUCGAGACUCAGUGGUCAAAUGGUCAAAAUUCUACACUUCUAAGUGUUUAAUGCCUCAACCAUUUGAACUUAAAUCUACCUAAAACUUACCACAAAACAUAUUCAUCCAAUCGACCUAUCUAAACAUGUUUAAACACUACUAAAUCAUAACCUGCAAUAGGUCAUUACUAAACCAACCCAUUUGCACAUUCAAACUCACAUAAACAAACAUAAUUAACUAGUAAUUAAAAGUUAAAAUUCAACUAACAUAACAUUAUAGGUCACUUACUAAAAGUGUCAAAACUAACUUAGGCAACAAGCCUACCAACUUAGGUACAGCCAUAUGAGAGCACAAACCAGAUUAGCUAUUUGUUGAUGAUUGUCUUUCCCUUUGCUUUUCGAUGUUCCAACGUCUUCUUUAGCUAUGUAAAAUAAAUUUGAAUAUAGAAAAUUCAUUAAUAAUCCAAUUCAAACACAAAUCAACACAUUAAAUACAUGAAUUCAUUUUAUUCGAUUUAGUCCCUAUACACCCUAAUAUCUGAAACACUCUAUACUCACAAUUUACUUACCGAAUUUAAAUCCAACUUAAUAAGCAUAGUACAAGGACCUCUUGCUACCUCUAUUUAUUUUCAAACCUCAAAGUUUACAUUUCUUACAAUUAGAUCAUGAAUUAAACAUAAUUUAAUUAUAUAAUCCUAAUUCAAUACUUUUCGCCAAAAUUUCAAUAGAAAUAACUAUAAUCUUAACUACUAUUAACAUGCAUGAGUUUUGAACAUUAAACUUCAAUUUUCCUCAAGUUACCAUCAAAGGAAUUUCAUCUAAAAUCUUACUAAUUCCUCAAAUAUUUAAUAUUUAUUGUACUUUAAUAAAAAAAUCAAUAAAAAAUUAUGACUAAACUUACCAAUUUCCUUGGCAAGCUCGGCGAUGGUGGAGAAAUGGAGAAGGAAAUGUUUUUUCUUUCUUUCCUAGCUAGACUGUAGAAAGGAUGAAAGAAAAUGAUGAUGUCUGUCCCUCACUAUCUGAUUAACCUUUAAUUAGUAGUUAUCUGAAUUAACAAGUUAAACACUAGAAAGUGGAAAGUGUUGACAUUUCUGCUUCUUAGUUUUGCAAUCGUCUAAUUGCUAUUAUCAGUUUCCUCCAUUUUAGUUACUAAUCAAUUUAUUCUCUGUAUUAUUUUAUUAAUCAAUUUAAUUCAAUAAUACUCAAUAAUUCAAAUUUCCUAAUCCCUCGAAAUUAUCCUAUUCUAAUUGUUUAUUAGCUUAUUUCAAAAAUCUAGUCUAAAACUAAAUUUUAUGACAUUGUUAAAAUCGAGUUGUUACGUCAAAGAUGUGAGAAAAUCUCUACCUCGAAUCACCAUCUCAGUGGCAAAUUUCGUGCCCCGACACCGUAGAGAUUCUCUGCUCCUUGGCACCGACUAGACCUGCAUCGGGUUCUCAAAUCACCAAGUUGGCAAUCGAUUUGGUUCCCAAAGUCGACAGAUGAGUGGUAAUUUUCAGAACCUAAGAGUCCCCCCUCAUUUUCACCCCAAAUCGCCAUUCCAUUCACCUAUUUGGGUGUCAGUUGUCCCUACGCAUAUAUUUCGUUCUUGAGGUGAUUAGCCCUCUUUUUUCUUUUUGGUUUAGUGUAGCAAUCGAG